Pungitius pungitius (ninespine stickleback) is the source of this 281-nucleotide long non-coding RNA. RefSeq lists it as uncharacterized. The transcript is spliced from 3 exons. Lineage: Eukaryota; Metazoa; Chordata; Actinopteri; Perciformes; Gasterosteidae. The record is from RefSeq and is a predicted model, not a curated record.
GAAUGAUGGCGCAAGCUACUGAGCUUUAUCUUAUUUUGCUAACGGCUAAGCUAACGUUAGCCGGAAUCAUGGCGGAAGCCGUUCAACUGAGUAUUUCUGCUGGACUGCACAUGAGCUGUGUGAGCCGACAACCCGCCUCCCCAACAACAGAGGAUGGACAGCGUCUUCCCACUUGUCUCAGCUGAGAGAGGAGUGUGACCCGGACCCAUCAGCCACAUGGGGAACUUUACAAGUAGGUACACCCGUCCUUUCUCUUGAAACAACACACAGACACAGACAGA